This 1497-nucleotide long non-coding RNA is filed under the name Manihot esculenta (cassava). Its description in RNAcentral is "long non-coding RNA (MESC_LNC000314)". The record is from RNAcentral. Lineage: Eukaryota; Viridiplantae; Streptophyta; Magnoliopsida; Malpighiales; Euphorbiaceae.
AACAAGGGAUUACAAUGAACUAUGGUCAAGCACACUUCUAAACCUCAAUAUCAUUAUGCAUAACAUAACUAUUUAACUUUACAUCAUUAUACAAUUUACCAUGUCCACUAUCUAUCUAUUACAAACAUAAAACUUUACUCUUCUUGACUUCUCUGUCUAGCCCGUACCUGCAAUCCUGGGGGAUUAGGGAAAAGGGGUGAGCUACUAGAGCCCAGUGAGCAGAAUAAUAGAAAACAACAUUUAAAAUCUCAUGCCAUCAUGUAAUGCAACACAUCACAACAAAUCACAUCUCGGAUGGUAUUGUCACCAAUAGUCCUCUACAUUCCAAAGUGCCGGGACGUAGAAUGGGUACAACCGGUCUUUCUCUUAACAUAACAUAUCAUAACAUACCAAUGUGCUAGGGACGUAGAAUGGGUACAACCUGGACUUUCUCUUACGUAGUGCCAGGGACGUAGAAUGGGUACAACCUGGACUUCCAUACCAUACCAUGCCGUAGCAUCAUCGUAUCAUAUGAGGACUAAAGGGUCAUCCAAUAACCAAUCCACAUCAACAUCAUAAAUGCAAUGCAACAUAUUCGUGGAUUCUAAUGCAAACAACCUAUUUCAUCACAUGGCAUCCAUGAUGCAUGAUCAUGCUCAACUGUAUAAUUCAUUUGCUUUAAAAACAUAAGGUUUAUUCUACUCACCUCUGGCUAGCUCUGACAAAGACUUAUGCAGCUAACUCACUGCUGGGGUCCUCGGUUCCUCGGGUCCGAACCUACACAGGUGGACUCAAAUGAGGGAUCAAACAACUAGAACAUAACUCUAAAAAACAUCCCCUAAAACCCCCUAAAACACCUCAAAACAAUCAUGCAAAAACAUGCAAAGGAAGGCAGAACAGGGCAGGUUCGGCGGCACCUUUGGCGGCCAAAAGUCCCUCAAGAACCGAAACCCAGGCAGGUUCGGCGGCACCUUCGGCGGCCGAAAGUCCUAGACAGAGACGAAAUUCUCUUUUCGGGGGCAACUUCGGCAGCCGAAAGGCCUGCCUCCCCAGCCAUGUUCGGCGGCCGAAAGUUCCUUCGGCUGCCGAACCUGGUUUCUGCCAAAGGGCAGAAACUUGGCUCCUUUAAGCACAUUUGCCUCCAAAACUUCCAAUCAUGCAUUUAGCUCAACCAAAACAUGCAAAUAUACAUACAUUGGCUCCUAGGGGCUUCAAACUAACUUAAACCCCAACUACAACACACAACAACAACACAAAUCCAACAUACAUUGCUCAAAACAUAACAUUAACUCAAAAACCUAACUAUGAGCUAAACAUGCAUUCUACCCCAUAGAUCUUGCAUAAAACUUACUUUAAACAUGAAAUGAGCUUAAGAUCGGCUCUUACCUCUUGAAGAUCAAGAGAGAGACGUCCUAAACUCGGAGGUGGGAGAUUUUUGAGUUCUUGAACCUCAAAUCUCCAAAACUUGCUUUAAACUCGAAAAUCUUCAAAACAAAGCAAAAACUUGUGAAAAUCUUG